CUGACUCACAAGCUCACAAUUGCCUUGUUUUGUUUUGUUGUCUGGGGAAUGAAGCUACGGCUUUGGUCUUGCUAGCUACUAGACAAACACUCUGCUGCUGCACCACAUUCCUAUGCCACAGCCCAGAGUUACAGGGGGAGAAGCACUACAUCCAGACUACAGUGACUACACGGAGGGGAGAUGCUCAUUCUGCUGCUGAUCAAUCAAGGCUCCACUGCACAGUACUUUAAGACGGCACUGCAGGGUUGAGAGCAUAAGCCUUGGAAUGGGACAAUACUGAUGACAAAGCCGGCCAUCUUCUCAAUGAGUCUUCACAUGAGGAAAGCAUGGAGAAGAGAGGAGCUUUCUUAGAUCUCUUCCUAUAAGGGUACUAAUCCUUUUCUUGAAGGUUCUGUUCUCAUCUGUGAACCGUGAAGUCAAACAAGUUGGUGCUUCUAAAACACAGUGAUUGAAUGGACUGCCGAUGGUUGUGAAGGGGACAACCAAGGAUAUUGUUUUAAAAGCUAAUUGGUCCAAGCAGGUCAGACCUGUCCAGGCAAAUCCUACGAAAUUUCAAGGCUCAAGAACAAGCCUCUUCUGCUGAGUGAUCUGCCCUCUCAGCCAUCUGGAGUAGCAAAGGGCUCUCCUCAGCAGUGCUGUUCCAUGGGUGUUGUCAGAGGCUUCUGCCCUGUAGAAACUAGAGUUGUGACCCUAAUAACCUCUGAAUCAUUUUGGGUGGGGGUGGGGGUUGUCUUCCUUCCCUUGCCUUUAAGAACAGCACAUUCUCAGCCACCCUCUGUUCCAUUUCCUUUUGCUGUUCCCCUUGGUGCCUGCCUGCUGUCCUGUCAGGUAAUCACACCUCUCUUCCUGACUUCCGUUGAGAUGCAAAUGCUUCACAUUUAUGCUAAUCUUUUCAGCAAAUGGCUAGUCUGACUACUGCUAAGGUUCUCUUCUCAGCAUGCUUUAUCUGUGUGUGUGUGUGUGUGUGUGUGUGUGUGUGGUGUGUGUAUUUGGUGUGUUAUGCUGAGACUUUUCCACAUCUUAUCUCCUGGUUCCUUUUGCUUAACAAUUCUGUACACAAACAUGAAGGACUCUAAGGGAUAAAUGGUCCCCAGGAAUGGAAGUGGCAUGAACUCCCGAACUAAUUGGGGGCAUGAGGGUGGGGAGGAAAGGAGCUGCUACAAUAAGAGUAAGAGAAGAGGAGAAGAGGAGAGGAAACGGAGGGGCAGAAACAUUGAGUUGGGGGAAGAAUAGAGGAAAGAGAGUAAGAUGAGAGAUACGAUAUCAGAGGGAGCCACUAUAGGCCCGAGAAGGGAUCUGGAACCAGGGAGAUCUCCAGAGACCUACAAGGAUGACAUGAUCUGACAAUCCAGGCAACGGUGGAGAGGAUAACCUAAAAACCCUCCCCCUAAAAUGAGAUUGAUGACUUCUCUUUAUGCCAUCCUAGAGCCCUCAUCCAGUGGCCGAUGGAAACAGAGACAGACAUCCACAGAUAUACAAUGAGCCGAAAUCGGGAAUUUAGUUGAAGAGAGGGAGGAAUGAAGAACGAAGGGGUCUGUACUAGGUUGGAGAAACCCACAGGAACAGUUGACCUGAACAAGGGAGAGCACAUCGACCCCAGAUGCUGUUCAGGAGGCCAGUACAAGACUGAUCCAGACCCCUGAACAUGGAUGUCAAUAAGGAGGCCUCUGCACUCCAGGGAGCCUCUGGUGGUGGAUUAGUAUUUUUCCCUGGUGCAAGAAGGGACUUUGAGAGCCCAUCCCAUACGAAGGGUUACACUAUGGCCCUGGACACAUGGGGAAGGGCCCAGGACCAGCAUAGGAAGACUUGGUGGACUUUGCAGAGCCCUCGUUGAGGGCCCUACCCUGCCUGGGGAGUGGUGGGUGGAUGGGGUGGGGGUAGGCUGGGGGUG
RNAcentral lists this long non-coding RNA (1891 nucleotides) under Cricetulus griseus (Chinese hamster). RNAcentral describes it as "lncRNA (ENSCGRG00015038808.1)". Lineage: Eukaryota; Metazoa; Chordata; Mammalia; Rodentia; Cricetidae. The record is from RNAcentral.